Long non-coding RNA from Lates calcarifer (barramundi perch), 241 nucleotides. RefSeq lists it as uncharacterized. The record is from RefSeq and is a predicted model, not a curated record. NCBI's taxonomy places the organism in Eukaryota, Metazoa, Chordata, Actinopteri, Centropomidae. The transcript is spliced from 4 exons.
GUAAACUUAAUAUCUUUUGGUUUUGGACGGUUGAUUGAACAAAACAAGACAUUUGAAGACGUCAUCAUGGGCUGCGGAAGACUAACAUCAGAAGCCUUUGUGGUUGGUGGACACCAGAGGGGAUGGUGCCACGAUGAUAGGGAGGGAAAUGAAAGAAGACACAGUGCCUUUUCUGAUUGUCUACUGUACCUGGAGAUGAAGAGAAAAGUGAUGCUGCGUUCCCAGAUCUCAGCGGUUAAAU